Molecule: long non-coding RNA, 3867 nt
Organism: Cynoglossus semilaevis (tongue sole)
Lineage: Eukaryota; Metazoa; Chordata; Actinopteri; Pleuronectiformes; Cynoglossidae
Exons: 3
Source: RefSeq, a predicted model, not a curated record
UUGCAGCAUCUUGUCAGUUGUUUGUUGUGUUUGAAUGCUGAGAUGAAUUCAAUGUGAAUAGAAAUCUGUUUUGGUUCAAGAACUGUGCUGUGACUGAGCUCCAUUUUAAGGUAGGUUUAACAGAACAAACAAAACUGACGUCCUGCCUCCGGUUCCACAUUUGAUUUUUGUCCUUCACUUUCCCUGCAAAUGGUCCAGAACCUGCCCCAGCCUGGAGGUUGACCACCCUCAGCCAGGCAUUAGAACAUCACAUCAGUCAGACCAACCUCAGGUCAGUCUUUUUUUAUUCUGGGCUGUUCUGGGUGUUUAUAUUCUGUGCAGAAUACGCGGUUCCUCGCUUUGACCGAGCCGUCUGCAAGUCAUCGUCUGCUCCUUGUGGUGGAGCUCAGUGAAAGGCCGUCUCGCUGACGCUGACAUGAGUCACGCAGAACAUGCACAUGGACUACACCCACCCUUAAUGAAACAAAUGAUCCCAGAGUCUGUGUCUCUCGCUGCCCCGCAGAUGUAAGCAAAUGCUCUUAUGACGCAGGUCACGGAGCAGGUGGCUGAGUUUGGGAGCAAUGGUCCAAAAAGAAAACAGGUCCAUUUCCAGCUUUUGAAAUUCAAAGAGGAAAAAAAGAGAAACACUCGCUGGAAGAUGCUUUGAUUUUAAAUGAAGACGACUGUUUUUAUUUUCCCUCCUAGAAUAUUAGAGGAUGACAGGAGCUGUAUCCAGACUGGAUUUUAUUUUAAUUUGUUCUGUUGGUUGUUUUUGUAGACAUCUGGACCUUUUCUCUGUUUAUUCUUCUCAUCUCUUUCCAAAUGUCAUACAUAUGUUUAGAAUAAACCACGGGGUGGGUGACGGACUUAACAUGUGGACGAAAAUAGACCCAUUUUAGGUCGAGGGAGCGUUUGACCCUCAGUCAUGUUAAAGUCAGUCUUAAUGCUUUUGGAGAACGAUCACUGGUGACGACCUAUUUAAAAAUAGAGUUGGGAUUUUGAUGUCAGCUGCCAAGUACAGAACAGUUUUAUGUCCGCAUUAAAAAUGAUAAUGUGAAAAUUGCAUCAACAAAUAGAAACAAUACCAAAACCUCAGAAAGCAAUUAAAUCUGCCUUGUCAGAGUACAGGCGUUUACAACAUCUGGCUCCUGGGCCAACUGCAGGUCUUCAGCCUCUUUCCUUGACUUCACGCAAGAAUGAUGCACAAAAUCUUUUACGAAGAUUUGAAUCACAUCAAUUUUACACUUACUACACUAAAUGUUUACCUUUCUUGCUAACAGCAAAUAUAAACCAUGUCACUCUACCUGCUUACAGGUGUGGAGUUUUAGCGGAGAGUCAGACCAUGCUGCACCAAUGUUGUGUUUGAGUGAAUUAUUCCCUGCAGGUUAAAUAACAAUGAAUUAUCAACAUCUUUCUUUCUCAGUACUUAAAACUUACACACAUACAGCACCGUCCUUAAAACGGUCGAAAUCUGUUUGCAGCUCUCAAUGAAUUUCAUUUGGUUGUAAAAUGACAAAAUGAUGACCAAAACUUUUUUUUUCUUUUAAAGUUGGUUCCAGUAGAACCGGGUCGUGAACCUCUUAUCGUGAUGUAAAUAGAAAAGCUGCGUUUGGCAGAAGUGCUGGAAAAACAGAUGAUGACGAGGGUCGUUUUUUCUGAGCCGUCACAGUUUUUAUGGAUUGUUGUGAGUUUUCUUUCUCUCCAGAUGAGCACAAAUAGAUGCACUUAACUGUAGUUCAUACAUGAUAAAUGACCUGAGACAAUCUCAAAGUCUGAUAGUUUCCAUUUCUCUCUCCCUGUUCAUGCUUGUUUUCUGGCAUUCGUUGGACCGCUCCCUCUUCCUGAACUGCCCUGUUACAGAAGAAUUUCUGCUAGUAUGGAUCAUACUUUCUAUGAUGAUGACAAUGAUGAUAUUAAAGGUUAAAAUGAAACAUCUUUCAUAGACAACAUGGACAAAGAAUUCAUUUUCAUUAUUUGAGUCAAAGUAAAAAUGUAAUACGUGACACACAAAGAAUGAAUGUGAUUUCAAUUAUGCAAAAAGUAAACAUUUGGCCUUUUUUCUUCUCAUUAUUUUCCCAUUCAUGAUGUGUCAUUUUUCCACAUUAGAUCUCCACCAUGACCUAAAGAUUAUCAGAUGUUUCCCAAAGAGUCUAUGAACAUUGUGAGUCAGUGAAAUCAAAUCUUAAAAACCAACGCUGCUUCCUUUGAAAUGAAACACUUUAUUGUUCCAGCCGUGCCUUGCUGCACUUACAGCACAGUUCCUUUGGCUCUGAUCUGGAUCUCUACUAACAUCACUUUAAUCAAAGGUCCAUCACUGCUUGCUUAACUCCUUUCAAAUGCACAUUCCAAGAAGAUGAACUUGAGGCCGUGCUGAGUGGCAGCCACAGCUCUGCUUAAAGGACGACACAUAGCACAUGGCAGAUAAUUGUUCCUAUCCUCCCAUUUCCCCGGGAAGAUGGAUUAGACCACUUCCGAAAAAAAAAAAAAAAUCACUCUCCCAGUCUGGAGCAUGAAUGCUGCCUGUUUCUGCCCUUUUAACAGGCUCAGAUUAUUUAAUCGAUAACAGUGACCCUUCCCUCGUGGAAUGGUGACCACAUGAAAGCGUGCACGGCUUUGCUAAUCAAGGAUCCAGAAGAUCGUUCCUGUCUCUGCGUCAAAGGAUGUCCCCCCUUUGCCCUGGGUGGUGGGUGACACACACACACACACACACAAUGUCACUGCUGGUGCAAUUUUCUUUUUUUUUCUUUUUUUUUUCCCCCAAGUCAUCUUAAAAAAGACGUUAAAGCCUGAAGUUUCACGCCAGACAAUCGCGGAGCGGAGGAAUUCCACGGCCGUGUCUCAGAGAGUUCAGAUCAGUAUGCAGUGAACUACAUCAGUGGUUUGUGAAAACACCUUCACCUCCUGGCAUCAAAUGUUUUGGCUGGAGCUGGAGAAUUUUGGUUUUGGAAAAGAGGGAAGAAGUUAUUGUCGAGUCAGAGCUGAAACUCUGUGACCUUUCCAGCACUUCAAUCAAUGGACAACAAGGAUUCUUGGUUAUAGGCAGAAAGACCUGUGCCAGCACUUAACGCCAACAGACCAGUCAUUUACAGAAGGAAAUCGUUUACCGCACAUUAACUCUGGCCACAGCAUGUCAGCCAUUUACGCAGGUAUGUAGAUGCUAACAUGCUAUGGAAGUUGUUGUCGAGUGCCAGAAGACGUUUUGAAAGAAGACGAGUGAAAUAUAGCCGUAGUGUGCACUACACAUGUAAUAGCACUACAAAUACAUGCUGUUGUUGUCACUUGAUAUAAAAAACAAACAAGAACAAGAGAUCCUCGGUUUACGACGUCCUCAUCCGAUGGCGUCUCAAGGUAAAGUUGCCCGUAGAUAAAUUUAUUGAGACAUUUUCAUUACAUCAUUCAGACGGACCUCGUUAAAACAGCGUUUUGCACUUGGAAUUAGUUGGACGAAUAUGUUGCCACAAGUCAUUGUUGGCGCCUUUGUUGUGUGUUAAAAAUGUUAGUCUGGUUCAUUUCAAUAAUUCAUUCUACCUUUAUUUUCACAGCCAUUCACAGUUUAAAUGCAUUGGUUCCUAAUACACAACUCCAGGAACAGGUUACCUCUAAUCAGCUCCACUAGUCACAGCUGCCACCUGUGUUUUCCCUCCACCAGCCUCUGCAACAAUCAGCCUCAUCACUCACACCUGUCCACCUGACUAUAAAUACACACCACUCUCAGGCGCCACCAUUUUGUCAUUGUUGAUUCAGUGUGGGUUUCAUGGGGUUGUGCUUGAACUGUGCUCUUUGUGUUACUGUGUUGUUUGGAGUUUUAUGUUUGUUUCUUUUGGGUUUGUUUGGUUUUAUUUUUCAUUGAAGUUGAAGCUGCAGUGUUUUAUAAGGAUGAUUUUUAUU